AUUGAACGCUGGCGGCAGGCCUAACACAUGCAAGUCGAGCGGAUGAGAGGAGCUUGCUCCUGGAUUCAGCGGCGGACGGGUGAGUAAUGCCUAGGAAUUUGCCUGGUAGUGGGGGACAACGUUUCGAAAGGAACGCUAAUUCCGCAUACGUCCUACGGGAGAAAGCAGGGGACCUUCGGGCCCUGCGCUAUCAGAUGAGCCUAGGUCGGAUUAGCUAGUUGGUGAGGUAAUGGCUCACCAAGGCGACGAUCCGUAACUGGUUUGAGAGGAUGAUCAGUCACCCUGGAACUGAGACCCGGUCCAGACUCCUUCGGGAGGCAGCAGUGGGGAAUAUUGGACAAUGGGCGAAAGCCUGAUCCAGCCCUGCCGCGUGUGUGAAGAAGGUUUUCGGAUUGUAAAGCCCUUUAAGUUGGGAGGAAGGGUUGUAGAUUAAUACUUUGCAAUUUUGACGUUACCGACAGAAUAAGCCCCGGCUAACUCUGUG
Molecule: ribosomal RNA, 484 nt
Filed under: uncultured bacterium
Lineage: Bacteria
Description: bacterial SSU rRNA
Rfam family: Bacterial small subunit ribosomal RNA
Source: RNAcentral